UACGUAGGUGGCAAGCGUUGUCCGGAUUUACUGGGCGUAAAGCGCGCGUAGGCGGCUUUGCAAGUCGGGUGUGAAAUCCCCCAAGCUUAACUUGGGAACUGCAUUCGAGACUGCAUUGCUAGAGUAUGGGAGAGGGAAGUGGAAUUUCCGGUGUAGCGGUGAAAUGCGUAGAUAUCGGAAGGAACAUCAGUGGCGAAAAGCGACUUCCUGGACCAAUACUGACGCUCAUGUGCGAAAGCGUGGGGAGCAAACAGGG
This 256-nucleotide ribosomal RNA is filed under the name uncultured bacterium. Its description in RNAcentral is "partial 16S ribosomal RNA". It matches the Rfam family "Bacterial small subunit ribosomal RNA", at positions 524 to 777 of the family's 1533-position model. The record is from RNAcentral.